This 107-nucleotide ribosomal RNA is filed under the name Collinsella tanakaei. RNAcentral's name for it is "partial 16S ribosomal RNA". It matches the Rfam family "Bacterial small subunit ribosomal RNA", at positions 1 to 107 of the family's 1533-position model. The record is from RNAcentral. Lineage: Bacteria; Bacillati; Actinomycetota; Coriobacteriia; Coriobacteriales; Coriobacteriaceae.
AUUGGACGGAGAGUUCGAUCCUGGCUCAGGAUGAACGCUGGCGGCGCGCCUAACACAUGCAAGUCGAACGGCACCCGCCCUCGGGCGGAAGCGAGUGGCGAACGGCU